UACGGAGGAUCCAAGCGUUAUCCGGAAUCAUUGGGUUUAAAGGGUCCGUAGGCGGUCAGGUAAGUCAGUGGUGAAAGCCCAUCGCUCAACGAUGGAACGGCCAUUGAUACUGUCUGACUUGAAUUAUUGUGAAGUAACUAGAAUAUGUAGUGUAGCGGUGAAAUGCUUAGAUAUUACAUGGAAUACCAAUUGCGAAGGCAGGUUACUAACAAUAUAUUGACGCUGAUGGACGAAAGCGUGGGGAGCGAACAGG
Molecule: ribosomal RNA, 253 nt
Filed under: uncultured bacterium
Lineage: Bacteria
Description: partial 16S ribosomal RNA
Rfam family: Bacterial small subunit ribosomal RNA
Source: RNAcentral